Molecule: long non-coding RNA, 303 nt
Organism: Mauremys mutica (yellowpond turtle)
Lineage: Eukaryota; Metazoa; Chordata; Testudines; Geoemydidae
Exons: 3
Source: RefSeq, a predicted model, not a curated record
GGCAGGAGGCCACGCAACAAGGCGGGGCGGGAGCUAAAAUACAGAGCAACAGCCCAAGACCUGAGGUGUACGAGAUGGAGUGCUGCUUGUCUGUUUAGACUGCGCUCACUGACUUGAGGAAUAUGUGGCGUCCAUGUUUAUAAAAAUGCCUGAAAGUCUCACCAGCAGCAGGAGGAAAGAACAAUGCAAACGUCAAUGGGACGCCACAACGAGCCAUGCACCCCAAAGCAGAGAGGAAAAGAAACAGGGAGGUGAGGAUGCCAAACAAACAGACUUUCGCUAGCGCGGUUGCAACGCAGAAGA